This 915-nucleotide ribosomal RNA is filed under the name uncultured bacterium. Its description in RNAcentral is "bacterial SSU rRNA". It matches the Rfam family "Bacterial small subunit ribosomal RNA", at positions 8 to 917 of the family's 1533-position model. The record is from RNAcentral.
AGAGUUUGAUCCUGGCUCAGAUUGAACGCUGGCGGCAUGCUUUACACAUGCAAGUCGAACGGCAGCACGGGGGCAACCCUUGUGGCGAGUGGCGAACGGGUGAGUAAUAUAUCGGAACAUGUCCGGAAGUGGGGGAUAACGUACCGAAAGGUACGCUAAUACCGCAUAUGCCCUGAGGGGGAAAGGGGGGGAUCGCAAGACCUCUCGCUUUCGGAGUGGCCGAUAUCGGAUUAGCUAGUUGGUGAGGUAAAGGCUCACCAAGGCGACGAUCCGUAGCUGGUCUGAGAGGACGACCAGCCACACUGGAACUGAGACACGGUCCAGACUCCUACGGGAGGCAGCAGUGGGGAAUUUUGGACAAUGGGCGCAAGCCUGAUCCAGCCAUGCCGCGUGAGUGAAGAAGGCCUUCGGGUUGUAAAGCUCUUUCAGCCGGAAAGAAAUUGCUUCUAUUAAUACUAGGAGUAGAUGACGGUACCGGAAGAAGAAGCACCGGCUAACUACGUGCCAGCAGCCGCGGUAAUACGUAGGGUGCGAGCGUUAAUCGGAAUUACUGGGCGUAAAGCGUGCGCAGGCGGUUUGGUAAGACAGACGUGAAAUCCCCGGGCUUAACCUGGGAACUGCGUUUGCGACUGUCAGACUAGAGUGUAGCAGAGGGGGGUAGAAUUCCACGUGUAGCAGUGAAAUGCGUAGAUAUGUGGAGGAAUACCGAUGGCGAAGGCAGCCCCCUGGGUUAACACUGACGCUCAUGCACGAAAGCGUGGGGAGCAAACAGGAUUAGAUACCCUGGUAGUCCACGCCCUAAACGAUGUCAACUAGGUGUUGGGGAAGGAGACUUCUUUAGUACCGCAGCUAACGCGUGAAGUUGACCGCCUGGGGAGUACGGUCGCAAGAUUAAAACUCAAAGGAAUUGACGGG